UGCAGCAGGGGCCUGCAUCUCGCAAGAAGCCGCAAGUCUCUCAUCAAUUUUUAUUCAAUUGCUUCAAGUUUUGUCAAUGCCACAAACGAAGAAUAAUGUUUACGAAGCUGAAAGCCACAUCUGUUUUUGAUGAAGCAACCAUUGGCAAUGAACUUUUAACAUGCAAUUGGCAUAGAAGAAAGCGAUCCGUUUUCAAACUGUGAAUUUGCUAGUUUAUGGAAAGUAUAGGUGGUUUUCAUAUGCGUCAUGCUGAUGGACUCCUUACAAAAUAAUAUCAUUGGAUUCCCUUUGCUAUUAGGCGACAUGGUGGAUGCCCUUUCUUUGUUUGUUAUUCCCUUAAGACACACAUGAAAACCAAGAAUUGCUGUUUUCAAAAUUAUAAUUAAUGUUUGCCUGAUGAGAUGAAGACAAGAAAGAGCGGCUCGCAGCUUUGGCAGAAAAACGUGUAAAGUAAAUUUGGAAUGUGAGAUAUAUUGACGUCGGACAUUUCUCGUUUUGCUUCCUUUGCAACAAUGCUAUUUAUAUUUCGCCAAGGUCACAAUUCGUUUGUUGAAGUUUGGUGAAGAAGCCAUUUUCAAUGAAGUUGAAAGCGAUGUGAUCCCACAUGGAUGGAGUUGUGAAAGUCCCUUUACCACCUCUGUCAUU
This is a long non-coding RNA of Xenia sp. Carnegie-2017, 645 nucleotides long. RefSeq lists it as uncharacterized. The transcript has 5 exons. The record is from RefSeq and is a predicted model, not a curated record. NCBI's taxonomy places the organism in Eukaryota, Metazoa, Cnidaria, Anthozoa, Malacalcyonacea, Xeniidae.